Molecule: ribosomal RNA, 506 nt
Filed under: uncultured bacterium
Lineage: Bacteria
Description: partial 16S ribosomal RNA
Rfam family: Bacterial small subunit ribosomal RNA
Source: RNAcentral
AUUGAACGCUGGCGGCAGGCCUAACACAUGCAAGUCGGGCGGUAACAGGAAUCAGCUUGCUGAUUCGCUGACGAGCGGCGGACGGGUGAGUAAUGUCUGGGAAACUGCCUGAUGGAGGGGGAUAACUACUGGAAACGGUAGCUAAUACCGCAUAACGUCUACGGACCAAAGUGGGGGACCUUCGGGCCUCAUGCCAUCAGAUGUGCCCAGAUGGGAUUAGCUAGUAGGUGGGGUAACGGCUCACCUAGGCGACGAUCCCUAGCUGGUCUGAGGGGAUGACCAGCCACACUGGAACGGAGACACGGUCCAGACUCCGACGGGAGGCAGCAGUGGGGAAUAGUGCACAAUGGGCGCAAGCCUGAUGCAGCCAUGCCGCGUGUAUGAAGAAGGCCUUCGGGUUGUAAAGUACUUUCAGCGGGGAGGAAGGUGUUGUGGUUAAUAACCGCAGCAAUUGACGUUACCCGCAGAAGAAGCACCGGCUAACUCCGUGCCAGCAGCCGCCGUAA